Non-coding RNA from Pelobates cultripes (western spadefoot toad), 88 nucleotides. The record is from the annotation of a GenBank genome assembly. NCBI's taxonomy places the organism in Eukaryota, Metazoa, Chordata, Amphibia, Anura, Pelobatidae.
UCUGUGAACCAAAUGUAGGUAAAAUUUAUAUAUAAUAUUAUAUUAUGUAUAUAUUAUAUAUACAUUUUACCUCCACUUGGUUCACAGA